Molecule: long non-coding RNA, 873 nt
Filed under: Equus caballus (horse)
Lineage: Eukaryota; Metazoa; Chordata; Mammalia; Perissodactyla; Equidae
Description: lncRNA (ENSECAG00000047563.1)
Source: RNAcentral
UGGCACCGGGCGCCCUUUCCGGCUCCAUGUAGAGCCACACCAUCGCGGCUCUGCACUAGAUUGCGUGCGCAGGAUCUCCUCCCUUCAAGGCAGGUUGAGUCGACAGGGUUCGCUCCCGUCCUGGGAGUCUACUCCUCAUCUUGGACUUCCUUCUUUCUCUGAACACCUACUGUGUACCAGCGUGGCGCUGAGGAAGCAUAUGUGAAGACAGGACAAUGUGUGGAGUGCCUUGGAAGUGUGCGUGACUGUUGCUGCUGACAGCCGAGCGGGGAAAGCCACAUUUUGCUUGGUUUGUGUCAGUAGCAUCAUCUACCAUCCCUGUCAUCUUCCAUGGAAAGUGGAAAGGGGAAGUUAGAUUCCCAAGGAGAAUGCCCAUCGCAGCAACAGAUGGAGCAGGCCUGGACCCUGAAAGGUCUGAAGGUUGAGAGGAGGCCAGAGGCUGCUGCCCUCGAAGCAUCCCCUCAUCGCUUCCGUGGCCGCCAGGUGUGUCGCGGGCCAUAGAGGAGCUGCUCCGAAGCCAGCGCGGGCCUGGCAUGGGACCAUCAGCCUGCCCAGGUGGUUAAGCAGAGAAACCUCUUCUCAAACGCCCUCCCUCCAAAGUCCCUGCUGGUGCCCAACAACUCUAAUUUUCCGGGUAGGAAUAAGCAGCGGCCAGUGGGACGUAGGUGAGCCACCAAAAGCCCGACAGACCGAGCCGGGACGAGCAGGGGUUUCCCCAGCCCGGGGUCCGCCACCCCCUACCCCCUCCCCCCCAUCCCCGUGGAAGACCCCGAGGGAGAAUCGCGUCAAUAGGGAAACUAGAAACUGGGAACUAUGACUCUGGGAACCGAGAACCCGACUGCGCUUGGCCGCUGGCGUGCGGUGCGAGCUCGG